This 301-nucleotide ribosomal RNA is filed under the name uncultured bacterium. RNAcentral's name for it is "partial 16S ribosomal RNA". It matches the Rfam family "Bacterial small subunit ribosomal RNA", at positions 509 to 807 of the family's 1533-position model. The record is from RNAcentral.
CAGCCGCCACGGGAAUACGGAGGGUGCAAGCGUUAAUCGGAAUUACUGGGCGUAAAGCGCACGCAGGCGGUCUGACAAGUCGGAUGUGAAAUCCCUGAGCUUAACUUAGGAAUUGCAUUCGAUACUGGGAAGCUAGAGUAUGGGAGAGGAUGGUAGAAUUCCAGGUGUAGCGGUGAAAUGCGUAGAGAUCUGGAGGAAUACCGAUGGCGAAGGCAGCCAUCUGGCCUAAUACUGACGCUGAGGUACGAAAGCAUGGGGAGCAAACAGGAUUAGAUACCCGGGUAGUCCCUGUCUCUUAUAC